GGGGGUGACUGGUUUCGACUUCGUACGUGGAGACAGGGGAAGCGAGCCGAGGAAGCCGACGUCGUCUCGAGAAUCGGUCGUCGGAAACCAAUAAGCGCCAAGGAUAACUCCCGCGCUGACUUCGCUCUUGCCGCCUGAGGUAAGUAGCAAGUCUGUCGGACUGAGCACACCUCCGGCUCAGAUCUCCGGCAUCAGCUAGGAGGUUGGCCAAUCGGUCCCGGUCGCGGGGGCCGUGCGGCGAGAUUAAUCAGCGACUGGGCCCGUCACACCGACUCGCUCACGUGAUCGGUGGGGCCGAGUAGAGGCACAGUGAGCUGCGCUCGGAGAAGCCCUGACAAAACAACGAAGGACCCGGGUUCGAUUCCCGGCACCUCCACUG
Non-coding RNA from Couchioplanes caeruleus subsp. caeruleus, 379 nucleotides. It matches the Rfam family "transfer-messenger RNA". Rfam says of the family: Bacterial tmRNA, also known as 10Sa RNA or SsrA, is named for its dual tRNA and mRNA-like properties. Its role is to liberate the mRNA from a stalled ribosome. Lineage: Bacteria; Bacillati; Actinomycetota; Actinomycetes; Micromonosporales; Micromonosporaceae. The record is from Rfam.